This 404-nucleotide ribosomal RNA is filed under the name uncultured bacterium. Its description in RNAcentral is "bacterial SSU rRNA". It matches the Rfam family "Bacterial small subunit ribosomal RNA", at positions 29 to 419 of the family's 1533-position model. The record is from RNAcentral.
AACGAACGCUGGCGGCGUGCCUAACACAUGCAAGUCGAGCGCGAAUGGAGCAAUCCUAGUAGCGCGGCGCACGGGUGCGUAACACGUGGGUAAUCUGCCUGGGAGACCGGAAUAACCUGCCGAAAGGCUGGCUAAUACCGGAUAAGCCCACGGACUCUUCGGAGUCUGAGGGAAAAGGUGGCCUCUGUAUACAAGCUAUCACUUCCAGAUGAGCCCGCGGCCCAUCAGCUCGUUGGCGGGUAAGGCCACCAAGGCAACGACGGGUAGGCUGGUCUGAGAGGACGAUCAGCCACACUGGAACUGAGACACGGUCCAGACUCCUACGGGAGGCAGCAGUGGGGGAAGUUUUGUCACAAUGGGCGAAAGCCUGAUGCAGCAACGCCGCGUGUGUGAUGAAGGUCUUC